This 551-nucleotide ribosomal RNA is filed under the name uncultured Glomeromycotina. Its description in RNAcentral is "SSU rRNA". It matches the Rfam family "Eukaryotic small subunit ribosomal RNA", at positions 548 to 1098 of the family's 1831-position model. The record is from RNAcentral. Lineage: Eukaryota; Fungi; Glomeromycota.
UUGGAGGGCAAGUCUGGUGCCCGCAGCCGCGGUAAUUCCAGCUCCAAUAGCGUAUAUUAAAGUUGUUGCAGUUAAAAAGCUCGUAGUUGAAUUUCGGAGUUUGUCGGUUGGUCGGGCUUCAUUGUCCGCACUGGCCUGAUGGAUUCCUACCUUCUGAAUAACCAGCAUGCUAUUAAGUUAGUGCGUUGGGGAAGCAGAGCUAUUACCUUGAAAAAAUUAGAGUGCUUAAAGCAGGCUUAUGCUUGAAUAGAUUAGCAUGGAAUAAUAAAAUAGGACGGCAUGGUUCUAUUUUGUUGGUUUCUAGGAUCACCGUAAUGAUUAAUAGGGAUAGUUGGGGGCAUUAGUAUUCAAUUGUCAGAGGUGAAAUUCUUGGAUUUAUUGAAGACUAACUUCUGCGAAAGCAUUUGCCAAGGAUGUUUUCAUUAAUCAAGAACGAAAGUUAGGGGAUCGAAGACGAUCAGAUACCGUCGUAGUCUUAACCAUAAACUAUGCCGACUAGGGAUCGGACGAUGUUAAUUUUUUAAUGACUCGUUCGGCGCCUUACGGGAAAC